GACGAACGCUGGCGGCGUGCCUCAAACAUGCAAGUCGAACGGGGUUAACCCGAACCGCAAGGGGAGGGGAACCUAGUGGCGAACGGGUGAGUAACACGUGGGCAACCUGCCCUAAAGCCUGGGAUAACGACUCGAAAGGGUCGCUAAUACCGGAUAAUGUCGGAUCAUCGCAUGGUGGACCGAAGAAAGGGGAAACCCGCUUUUGGAUGGGCUCGCGUCCCAUCAGCUAGUUGGUAGGGUAAUGGCCUACCAAGGCGACGACGGGUAGCCGGUCUGAGAGGAUGAACGGCCACACUGGGACUGAGAUACGGCCCAGACUCCUACGGGAGGCAGCAGUUGGGAAUAUUAGGCAAUGGACGAAAGUCUGACCUAGCGACGCCGCGUGAGGGAAGAAGGCCUUCGGUCGUAAACCGUCUGUCAUUGGGGACGAAGGAAGUGACGGUACCCAAGGAGGAAGCCCCUGCUAACUACGUG
RNAcentral lists this ribosomal RNA (474 nucleotides) under uncultured bacterium. Its description in RNAcentral is "bacterial SSU rRNA". It matches the Rfam family "Bacterial small subunit ribosomal RNA", at positions 28 to 507 of the family's 1533-position model. The record is from RNAcentral.